This 301-nucleotide ribosomal RNA is filed under the name uncultured bacterium. RNAcentral's name for it is "partial 16S ribosomal RNA". It matches the Rfam family "Bacterial small subunit ribosomal RNA", at positions 509 to 807 of the family's 1533-position model. The record is from RNAcentral.
CAGUCGCCGCGGUAAUACAGAGGGUGCGAGCGUUAAUCGGAUUUACUGGGCGUAAAGCGUGCGUAGGCGGCUUCUUAAGUCGGAUGUAAAAUCCCUGAGCUUAACUUAGGAAUUGCAUUCGAUACUGGGAAGCUAGAGUAUGGGAGAGGAUGGUAGAAUUCCAGGUGUAGCGGUGAAAUGCGUAGAGAUCUGGAGGAAUACCGAUGGCGAAGGCAGCCAUCUGGCCUAAUACUGACGCUGAGGUACGAAAGCAUGGGGAGCAAACAGGAUUAGAUACCCCUGUAGUCCCUGUCUCUUAUAC